GACCUAAUAGUGAAAUUGGUAUCGCAUCUACUCCCCAUUCCAUUGCGCAUUGUGCGGAAGGUGGAGUCCCUCGUUCGAAUCGGGGCCAGGUCA
Non-coding RNA from Mycena rebaudengoi, 93 nucleotides. Lineage: Eukaryota; Fungi; Basidiomycota; Agaricomycetes; Agaricales; Mycenaceae. The record is from the annotation of a GenBank genome assembly.